CCGCAUACCCCCCGCGGAGAGGUGUACGUUACGGUGCUACGGAGGCCUUACUGGUCCUAACGGCUGCUCGGGAAGGGUGAGGGAUGUAUCCUUGUCUGCUCCUGGCUUUUACCCUCUAAUUCAGGGCUAUGCUGGGUCCUGAGAAGCCUUAAAGCCAGGCCAGCACCUCAAGCUCCGGUUCCUGUGUGCUGCUCAGCCCAGACCUGCAACCGUCAGGUCACUUCAGGUUCCUGCAUUGCAGAAGUGCCAGCUUGGUAUUUUAUACAGCAGGCAGCAGGUUGAUGUGGGUGCAGAUUGGAGCUGAAAUCCUAAUACAUACAAAAUACAGCCCUUCUUCUCUUCCCAGCUAAAUAACAAAGUACAGGUAAAUAACAAUAAAGGUAAAUAACAGGUAAAUAAAGGUAAAUAACAAAGUACACUGAAAUGUGUACUGAAUUCCUGACUUUUUGGUCAUUGCAGCUUAACUCUUAGCAGUGCUCCUUUCUCAGUUUCCAGUAUGACUUCUCCAGAAGAGCCUACAAAUUGCUGUGGGGCUUGUUAAGGACUUUAAUGAGCUGCUGAGGAAGACAGCGGGGAUUUGUGUGCAAGGUCAGUGGUUGCAAUCCACCACAGCCUUUGCCACAACCAGCUAAUGGCUGCUAAAUGGUCAGUAUGAAAUCAGUUUAGUAGAUUUCAAGACAGACAGCAGUUGAUAAAUGCCUAAAAAUCACUUCUCCAAUUGGCUUCCUUGUAGGCAGUCACAGCAAGUUAGUCAAGGUCUGAAGAGGCCAUGCAAAUUCAGCAGUUCCUGGAGGUUAAGAGCACAGACAAGAUUGCUCGUGAAUACUUUCACCCUGUUGUGAAUGCCAAAAGUCUUCAGAGGAGGUCACUGCACAGCACUGCAGAUGCAAAGAUGAAGCUUCAGGAAAGGAAACCACUCAGAUGUCGAUAAGUGAUGUGCCAGAUCAGGUUUGACAAAGACAGCUCCUGGCCUUCCUGGGGCUGCUGAUGUUCAUUAGCAUUGUGAGAUACCUCUGAGCACACUGAGGUGGAGCUGCUGAAGAUCCUGCAAGGCAGUGCGUCACCAGUUUCAGCUGAACAAGGCUAAUACUCAGCCACUCAUUCCUAAUCUGCACAGUGACUCAUCCGCUCCCAGCUCUGAUGUUUGUUUUUUUACCAUACUUCUCCCUACCCUUUAUGGCGAUUCAAUUUUCUGCCUCUUUAUCAUCCUCUUUCAUCACAUAUAUAUGGCAGAACACACCUGGAAACAAGACCUGCAGCACAGGCAGCUGAUCUAGGAAAGCAGGGUCGCAAUGGGUUCUUGAGUGAGAGUGAGCCGAUGACUGAAUGUGAACACCUGCUGUAAAGCAAUGGCUAAUGGUCUAGGGCAAGCAUUAAGUGUGUAAGCAAAGAAGUGCCUCUGCAGGUGAAAUUCAGUUUACUGAAUCUAGACCUAAUUUUCCACGUUGGCAACCUGAUGAUGAAAAAUCAGGGGGGGUGCAGGCAGGACAUCCAGAAGUGACUUGACACAUUGAGAAAACACAGUGUAAUUGAAAUUCAUAAAAAGCUCUGUUUAGUUCAUCAUGAGCAAAAGGUGACUUAACUUGGAUGUAUGAAUACAUUUAUAAGCAUAAGAUAGUUAGUGUUAAAAGGCUCUUUAAUCCAGUGCAGAAAGGCUCAGCAAGACUCAAUGGCUGCAAGCUGAAGCCAGACAAAUUCAAAUGAGCAAUUAGGCAUACAUUUGAUAAUGGGGAACAAUUAACCACUGUAACAAACUACCAAGGGAAUCUUCAUCAGAAGAUCCCUUCAGUUCCCAGACCAGAUGCCUGGACAGUCUAGCCAGGAACAAAAAACUGAAGUACCAAGUCUGAAUUCAACGGUCUGUGACCUACAGGAGCUUAGAGAGUUUGAGCUAAUGAUGCUUUCUGUUUUUGGUUAAGGACCUAGGGAUCUUCCUCUUUCCUAGUUU
Molecule: long non-coding RNA, 1948 nt
Organism: Coturnix japonica (Japanese quail)
Lineage: Eukaryota; Metazoa; Chordata; Aves; Galliformes; Phasianidae
Source: Ensembl